This 429-nucleotide ribosomal RNA is filed under the name Bacteroidota bacterium. Its description in RNAcentral is "Bacteroidetes bacterium partial 16S ribosomal RNA". It matches the Rfam family "Bacterial small subunit ribosomal RNA", at positions 355 to 776 of the family's 1533-position model. The record is from RNAcentral. Lineage: Bacteria; Pseudomonadati; Bacteroidota. RNAcentral also lists the same sequence under 1 other name.
UAGGGAAUCUUCGGCAAUGGGGGGAACCCUGACCGAGCAACGCCGCGUGAGUGAAGAAGGUUUUCGGAUCGUAAAGCUCUGUUGUUAAGGAAGAACGAGUGUGAGAAUGGAAAGUUCAUGCUGUGACGGUACUUAACCAGAAAGGGACGGCUAACUACGUGCCAGCAGCCGCGGUAAUACGUAGGUCCCGAGCGUUGUCCGGAUUUAUUGGGCGUAAAGCGAGCGCAGGCGGUUAGAAAAGUCUGAAGUGAAAGGCAGUGGCUCAACCAUUGUAGGCUUUGGAAACUGUUUAACUAGAGUGCAGAAGGGGAGAGUGGAAUUCCAUGUGUAGCGGUGAAAUGCGUAGAUAUAUGGAGGAACACCGGUGGCGAAAGCGGCUCUCUGGUCUGUAACUGACGCUGAGGCUCGAAAGCGUGGGGAGCGAACAGG